Molecule: ribosomal RNA, 176 nt
Filed under: uncultured bacterium
Lineage: Bacteria
Description: partial 16S ribosomal RNA
Rfam family: Bacterial small subunit ribosomal RNA
Source: RNAcentral
GCUGGAAUCGCUAGUAAUCGCAGAUCAGAAUGCUGCGGUGAAUACGUUCCCGGGUCUUGUACACACCGCCCGUCACACCAUGGGAGUUGGAAAUGCCCGAAGUCGGUGACCUAACCGAAAGGGAGGAGCCGCCGAAGGCAGGUCUGAUAACUGGGGUGAAGUCGUAACAAGGUAGC